Rattus norvegicus (Norway rat) is the source of this 6343-nucleotide non-coding RNA. NCBI's taxonomy places the organism in Eukaryota, Metazoa, Chordata, Mammalia, Rodentia, Muridae. The record is from RefSeq and is a predicted model, not a curated record.
UCUAUCUGGGAGACACAGGAGGGAGCUCACUGUUCCAUAGGCAGGCAGGUGACAGGACUGAAUUCCCAGUGGACUGGUGACACAGACCUAUCUAUCUCAGAUGUCUGUGAGCUGAGGCAAGGGGAUGGCUUGAACUCAGGAGUUCAAAGCCAGCUUGGGCACCAUAAUGAGACCCUGCAUCCAACAUGAAUUAAUCAAUAAAUACACAAGUACACAAGUAAAUGACAGGAAAAGUGAACUGGGAGUUGGAAUGCGAUAUCUCCCAUAUUGUCCACUUUAACAAUGCUUCAUGAGGCCAUGAACAGUAACUCUGUACAACCCAGGGAGCACAAGUAACAUUGCCCACAGUCUCCCGCCUUGUACUUCUUCCCAGAGAUUCUGGGUUCACUUUUUGAGUAGUUUGAUUGAUGUGUGAGGGGACACCUUUUCUCCCCUCCGCCUUCUUCUGCCUAGCCAUCAAAUUUAUAACCCAAACUUAGCAUCUUAUCACUUUGGGAAAUAUUAAAAAAAAAAGUUGUCCUUUCAAACAAACCAAACCAAAGUCCCAGAAUUACCCCAGAUAUGGUAUGGGUAGCAUAGGGGUUGUAUACUAAAGUGUCAGACCAGAUCCUAACCCUGCCUAACUGACAGAUUCUACAGCUGUCGAAAGGUUUAAAGUAAUACAGAUCGGCUGAGCCAGUAAGUUGAUUUGGUGAGAGCGAAAUGCUAAUGAGCCUUUGAUCUGUGCAGAGGCCGGUGAGCUAGAAACACAGCCUCGCCCGCACCCCUCAUCCAGCCAGCUGUCUCACAAAUACUUGCCAUUGGUCACAGGGGGGACCAGGCAACCUGGGAGAGGAGCGGGAUCAGCUCAAAUCCAUCAUCUCACUGCAUGCGUCACUCGAGCGCUGGCCCUCACCCUGACAAGCCAGCGGCAUCCACUUCCUCGCAGAGACGCACACAUUGCAACAGAGUUUGCUAUUUUUUUAAACAUUUUUUUGUUUUUGUUUUUGUUUUGUGUGCGCGUGUGUGUUUCGUUUUGUUUUUAAGGAGACUCUUUUUUCCUUGUCCUGAAAGUAAACGUGGGCUGGUAUUUACUUCCCGAUUUGGGGUUUUGGAAGGUCGUAUGUAUGCAUGAACACAGUGAGUGGUUAUGGAAUGUGGCUGAUAAGGAAGAUAAGUAUCAAGUUCAGGGAAUACUUGCCGAUUGUAAGAACCAGUGGUGCAGAUGAGGGAUGCCAGGCGCACGGGGCAGCGCGGAGCAGAUGGGCUCCGGUAGGGGGGCUGACAGGGCCGCAGCAGCUGAGCAAACGUAAGAGGUCAAGAAGUAUUUGUGGUCCCUGACUUCCUCCUCCUCGCCUCUGAACGGUGGGCCUCAUCAAAGCCCUGUGCCCGGGGAAUCAUACCCAGGGCAGUUUCUGUGGGUAACACUCCCCCCUCCCAAGAUUCUGUUCCAGGAGAACAUUCCAGUUCUACACAUCCAGGGUGGAUCCAUGUGCUAUUUUUAGAAGUAGGUUUUGAUGGAGGAGAAAACAACCCACAUUCCAACCAUAUCAAAAAUGUAAAAUGUGGAAAGUUUUCCUUAGCUGUCCGCUCUCUUCUGCUGAUGAAAAUACCUUUUAACAUUCAUUCGCCAGGUUUCAUCUGGAGGCCUACGGUGAAGGGCCAGGUGUAACUAUACAAAGCUGCCUGUGGGUUGGGUACUUGAAGAUUUCCAUAUGGAUUCUAUAUUACACGUCUCUUGUGACUUCUCAUUGUGAUUAUUAUUUCAUAAUAUAUAACUCGUAUGUAUUUAAGUAACUGGGAGCCGGUUACAAGAACGAUCAGAACAAAACGGUAUUAAUGAAGGUCCAGGGGAUAAGAUGAUCACUCUUUUCAAAUUACUGACUGGUCAAAUGCGUGGGAAUGGUGGGUACACAGGGUAAGAGGUAGGUAGAGACAAGUGCCCAGGAGAACCAGAGCAGUAUUCUAGUGUUAUUCAUAGGACUUGAAUCCAGGAUAUGUCAGCAAGUUCUGGCCAAUUGCACAGUCGAACCUGGGUUUCAAUGAGCUAGGCUCCCAGAGCUGUUUUGUAGAUCUGUGGUAUAGAAUCUGGGAUGCUUCCCCUCAUGCUUAUGAGGCAUAGUCGAGAUAUCAGGGCUUCCAUGAUAACACCUGAGAAUGCCUUCUUCCUCUCUGGCGUGGCCCCCAGAGCCCCACACCCCACUGCGCACAGCCUCUUGACUAUUGUCUCCUAGUUCGUGGUGUUCCAGUCAAGUGUUUCAUGAUCUCGCCGGGCUAUUUCCAUCUCAAGACUUGGUGUUUUAGCUGCCUUUGGUGUCAGCCAAUCAAGGUGGCCGCUUCUUUCUCUUCAAAGAGACUUUCCCUUUCACAGCCUACCCCACCUCUGAUGUCCCCUUUGGUCACCUCCAUAGCCUUUUCCCCUCUUCUUACCACCCUAGACAUUGUCUGUAUGAUUUGGUGUCUCCCACCAGAAAGUAGGCUCCUCUGGGCCAAGGCACUGCUCCAGUUUCCUCUCUGUCCAUUCUCAGAAUGCAGCAUGACUCAGAGCCAAUGUCUAGGGAAUAACGUUGAACGGGUCUGAUCUUCAAAAAGGUAUCUAAAGCCAGACUUCAGUGUCCACCUGUGUAGCCACAAGCAAAUGGCUCUCCCCACCUUUCUCCAUCCCCGGGGAAGCAGGUUUUUAUAGCCUGCCACAAAAUCCGUUGAGAAGACCAAACGGAGUCUGCUUGUAAAAUGCCUUGACACAUCCCCUCUCCAAGCCACGGGUCUUCAUCUGUAAAACCGCAACAUGAUGUUAGCUUAUUCUUCAAGGUUGCCUGGUGCUAUUUACACACGUGGUUAUGCUAGUGAAGACUGAGACCCUCUCUCUCCUGUUGCCUGGGAUCAGCUGCAGUGACAGGAGAUGGGGGGUUGAGCGGCACUUUUACCCAGAGGUCUCUGCGUCUCCCUACAGGUUUUAGGGUCCCAGCGUGUGUUUCUUUGGGGCCCUCCGUGCUCCCCGUGUUCCUGGGCUCACAAGCCCAUACGUAAGUGGGUUAGAAUAGAGUUCUACCAGGCUCAAACCUCCCCUGGAGGCACUGCCAUGGAGCCGGGGCACUGGGAAAGACAGAAGCCUUCUGCCAUCUACUGCUUCUGCAGAAUUCUCCCGUGGGUAGAGAUGAGGGCGGACGUAUUGACAGUGGAUUCUCCAAGGACUCAGGGAGCAGACACAUCAGACAACAAUGGGUCAUCCUGACCGUCCAUAGCUUCAAAGUGGACUUGUGCCCACCAGCCUUGAUAAUGAAUAGUCCCUUUGAACUCCUCCACUGCCGUGAAUGACCCCUCCACCACAAGCGCCAUCUCCCCCAGUCACCUGGGAUCGCCACCCAGGCUGCUCUGCUCUAGCACCUCGGCUCUCACACUCAUCUGGUAGCCUGAGCAUACUCGGACAUUUAAAUUCCUAAGAUUUACUUUAACUUUUCUUUUUUAUAUGUCAAGCAGACUUUCCCUUAUAAAUCCUGAAAUCACCUUUGAAAUUUUAGACAAGGGCAGAUGUCACUUAAUGUGACUGGCAAAUGUCCCACACGCCAUUUGUUCUGCGUGGUCGUUGUUAUUCCUUUAUACUUCUCUUCUUUCUCCCUUUCUUUCUCUUCUUUCUUUUUUUCUUUUUUAAAUCGCCACCGCACUGCAAAACCAAUUAAAACAAACUUUGCAAAGAUUCUCAUUUCUGGCUAUGAUAUUCCAACCUCUGACUUCUUCUGAAGCGUGAGAUAAGACUUUCUGAUUAACUGGGGGUGGGUGCUUAUCCAAUCUGUUCAUUUUAUACAUUAUGGAUAGUGCCUUUUAAUUUCUAUGCCAUGCCAACGGCAUAUACUUUCUGAAAUUAAUAAAUACAAUACAUACUAUCAAUGUGCGAGAUUUAAAAAAAACAGAUUUCCAUAGUUUGACAUACAAAAAAAUGUACUCACACACUUUUGAAAUCUACUGUCAAAUCAUUUCACAUCUGUACCUAAAGCAAACAGACAUAACGCUAACAGCUUGUUCGAAUUCAGAAAUGCCACCCGCUAAUCAGCCCACCUGUGGCAUUCUCAGUCCAUCUUGCAAGCUGCAUAGCCGGCUGCCAAGAAGCUUGACAAGAAAAUGUAUAUUAAAUUAUUGAAUAAGAUUGGAAAUGUUGUACAGGGUGGGAUAAAGAGAGUGCACGGCGUGGGGCCGCCGAGCGCGCCGCACCUUUCUGCUCUAACGUCUGCUUGGAGGUGACCUAGCUCAGUCCCUGGUUGCAAGGUUAGCCUUGAGGCUCUCGGGUUUUCAUUGUUCCUGCCGAGGGGAGGGCAGUCGUGAUGUGUGCUUGGCAUCGAGUAAAACAGACAGCCAGGAAAAAAAGAUGCAGAAAACAAAUUCCGUACUGAGUUCCAUGGAAAUGUCCCGUCCUCAUAAAACUCUCCUUCCACAGUGAAGACGAUGAAACAAAGGUUUUCUACAAUCCUGACAACAUGAUCCUAGAAGAAAGUGGCCUUUUGAUCUUUCUUGGGGGGACCCCCCCCAAAAAAGCAAAUGUGAAAUAAAGCUACUGAGACCCUUAGAACAAGACAGGGUAUCAGACCACCAAACAAACCGUGGGUACCUUCCUGGCCACACCCUGAGCUUGUGAAAUUGUCUUGUAAACGUGACAUUGCACAAAACCGUUACAUUUUAACACAUGAUUAGUUUCACUUCUAUGGACUAGAAGUGCUCUCCCGAAUGAUCUCUGGGGGUCUGUGGGAAAAGCCCUCUGGAGAGGGUGUGGUCCCUCUGUAGCUCAGGUUGCUUGUGUAACCCUGAGGCACUUUUUUGCACAAGUCACUUACGGUGUCAGCUUUGUCAAAGGCACACGGGAACUUGGGCUAAGAAAGAACAAAGAGAGAUGGGCGUGGCAGCACACACCAGCACGUCCAGUUUCUGGGGAAGCUGGAGCAGGAGGAUCCCUUAAGUCCAGCAAUGGAGACCAGCCUAGACAAGAUAAUGACCUCUAUCUCAAUAAAUAACUGAAUAUCAGUAAAUUAUUAUUUUAAAUGUUUUACAAAAGAAAAGGUAAACGUGGGGAGAUCAGAAUGUAUCUGCCUUAAAGAAACUGACCAGCUUUCCUCACCGAUUUGGGUACAGAGCCCUUGUUCCUUGCCCUGUGUGCAUUUCAAGCCUAUUCCCUUUUUCUUGCUUUUAUUUUGGCCUGAACCCAUUGGAGUCUUCUUGUCUACUGACCUCUACUUCUCAAUGACUUCAUGCGUUUAGAAAGCACAGCCACAUAGGAAGAUGUUAGAGCCCCCCCCCCCCCAGCAGCCUAGCCAAACGGCAUCCACCUAGUUCUCCACGGGACUCUCUAUAGCUAGCUAUAAAGAAAGAUAUUUCACACGUGCAAAAAUAAUACAGCAUCGCCGUGAGCCACAGCUGACGAGCGAGGCCCCUCGAUGUCCAGUUUUCCUUGCUGCUCAUCUCCCCGGUGCCCCUGCUGCUCUACCCCUCUGCUUUUCCUGGGGGCAUUCCUCCUUAGCCAGCUCCCAUGCCCUCCUCCAUGUGAUCACCUCCCCCUGGGUGGCUGUGGCCUUUGGGAUGCAGUCUAGGUGUGAAAGGAAUGAUUAUUCAUUGUGAUCAACAAGCACAGAAGCCCUCCUCUCCUCAUGGAGGCUCCAUUCCCCAGAGAGCAGCUUGGCAGCAUUUUUCUCAAAGUAGAAUCAAAAUGCAUCAUAUAUAUAUAUAUAUAUAUAUAUAUAUAUAUAUAUAUAUAUAUAUAUAUAUAUAUUUCCACAUGACAUCUCAGGAGAUUUUUGAUACAGGUUCCAUUUCUGUCAAGAGAGAAGAUGACAUUUUAGUGGGGGGUGGGGGGAAGCAGUGAACCACAACCCUCGAUGUCCCUCUCUGCUUUAGCUGAUUAAUAACUGGGAUCACCCACAACUCACUUAACCUUCUCAAUGUCUCAGGCUCCCCAUCGGAAAACUAGACGACAGGGUGAGGACCAGCAUCCUCCCUGUUCUGAUCCACUCUGAGCCUAGGAAACAGGACCCUGAGCUUUUCAAAGAAAACUUUUGCCUGCCCAGUGUUUGACGGCGAUGAGGAAACGGUCCAGGUUCUCCCUACUCCGUACCCUGCCCUGAAGACACAGCCGUUUGUUUCCCUGUGCCGAUGUUACUUUGGGAAGAACAUUUACUCACGAAUGUAAUUUCCCUGAAAAAAACCGAUGGUUUUGAGUUUGAAAUCCAUACUGCUCCUUCUGUGGCAGUGCCUUUGUAGUGGAAAGUAACAGAGAAGAGAGAAAUGGGUAGCCCUGUCCUCGUUUAUACUUGGUUGGCACAAACCAUAGUGAUCGAGGUUUACUCUGAGAAAACGCUCUGUGUGUGUGUGUGCGUGUGAG